Molecule: non-coding RNA, 742 nt
Organism: Arvicola amphibius (Eurasian water vole)
Lineage: Eukaryota; Metazoa; Chordata; Mammalia; Rodentia; Cricetidae
Source: the annotation of a RefSeq genome assembly
ACAAGCCCAAUCGGGUUUCAGCAUUGAACACAGGACACUCGCCAUGGACUUAUGGCUCAUAUUUGUUUCUUUUGUUCUUAUUUUAAAAGGUGUCCAGUGUGAGGUGCAGUUACUGGAGUCUGGCGGAGGCUUAGUGCAGCCUGGAAAGUCCCUGAAACUCUCCUGUACAGCCUCUGGAUUCACCUUCAGUAGCUACUGGAUGGACUGGGUCCGCCAGGUUCCAGGGAAGGGACUGGAUUGGGUCGCACAGAUUAAUAAAAAUGGCGGUAGUACCUGGUAUACUGACACUGUGAAGGGCCGGUUCACAAUCUCCAGAGACAACGCCAAGAACACUCUGUACCUGGAAAUGAGCAGUCUGAGAUCUGAGGACACAGCCAUGUAUUACUGUGCAAGAGACACAGUGGAGCAGCAACACUGGGAUUCAAGGUUUGACUUCAGGCUCAGGUCCUCCCUUACCUUGAGCAAGCUUCUGAAGACAUCCCAGUUCCCAUUCUUCCUUAAGAUCCCAGUGAUUCCCAAAGCAUCAAAGGCAGAUAACACAGCUCAACAGACCUGUCUUCCUUUUUUAGAGGUUGUAACAGACACUGUUACACUAUGUGCACUGUCCCAGGUCCAGGUGAAGGAAUCAAAACCUGACCUGGUGCAGCAAUCACAGACCCAGACCUUGUCUCUCACCUGCACUGUCUCUGUGUUCUCAUUAACCAGCUGUCAUGUACACUGUGUCCACCAGUCUCCAGGAUAG